Molecule: ribosomal RNA, 465 nt
Filed under: uncultured bacterium
Lineage: Bacteria
Description: bacterial SSU rRNA
Rfam family: Bacterial small subunit ribosomal RNA
Source: RNAcentral
CCUACGGGGGGCAGCAGUGGGGAAUUUUGGACAAUGGGCGAAAGCCUGAUCCAGCAAUGCCGCGUGCAGGAUGAAGGCCCUCGGGUUGUAAACUGCUUUUGUACGGAACGAAAAGCCUGGGGCUAAUAUCCCCGGGUCAUGACGGUACCGUAAGAAUAAGCACCGGCUAACUACGUGCCAGCAGCCGCGGUAAUACGUAGGGUGCAAGCGUUAAUCGGAAUUACUGGGCGUAAAGCGUGCGCAGGCGGUUUUGUAAGACAGUGGUGAAAUCCCCGGGCUCAACCUGGGAACUGCCAUUGUGACUGCAAGGCUAGAGUGCGGCAGAGGGGGAUGGAAUUCCGCGUGUAGCAGUGAAAUGCGUAGAUAUGCGGAGGAACACCGAUGGCGAAGGCAAUCCCCUGGGCCUGCACUGACGCUCAUGCACGAAAGCGUGGGGAGCAAACAGGAUUAGAUACCCGGGUAGUC